UUUCUCUCUUUGCAGCAGGAUUAACACAAUGUGAGUGCCACAGCUGACUUCUAUCUAUACACACAAUUAGGCCAUUUCUGGCCCAAAACUGGCAGACUGGCACUAGUGGCCAAACCACUGAGACACCAAACACAACAUUCUUCAAGGCACUGUGGAUGCCUCCAAGCCAGGCUUUAUGUGAUCCAUCGGACCUGGAUCCACCACUCUCUGAGACUCUGUAAAGGACCAGAAUCUGGAACUUGGUGAAAGGCUUGCAGUCACAAAAGACUAAGAACAUCACAGACCUUUACAAUAAAAGCCUUAGAACUAAAGCUGGUACCUGACUGCAUGUUUUUAAAUAUGCCACACACCCCAAAUCUACACCCAGAUUUAUGGGUGUAUGUCUACAGCUUUUGCGUUUAGACAGGUUACUUUGCACCUUUCAAGAGGAGUCCCUGGGUGCCAUUAAUAAAGGAGCAGCUGCCUCUGGAUGCUGGCUUAGAGGCAUCCAAUAGAUCAGCAGUGUAUGAAGCAGCAAGGACAACUAAACAAGCUGGGUGAUUUUUCUGCACUAAAAAUAAACAGUGAAUAAACAUUUACA
This 580-nucleotide long non-coding RNA is filed under the name Parus major (Great Tit). RNAcentral describes it as "lncRNA (ENSPMJG00000012967.1)". The record is from RNAcentral. Lineage: Eukaryota; Metazoa; Chordata; Aves; Passeriformes; Paridae.